This 593-nucleotide long non-coding RNA is filed under the name Fukomys damarensis (Damara mole-rat). Its description in RNAcentral is "lncRNA (ENSFDAG00000031182.1)". Lineage: Eukaryota; Metazoa; Chordata; Mammalia; Rodentia; Bathyergidae. The record is from RNAcentral.
CCCCCUCCCAGAGCUGGGCAACCUGCAAUAAAAGGGGGGCCCCAGAGGAGGUGCUGCCUCAGGCUCAGGCGUUGGCAUGGGGGACUUCAAUAGCAGAUCCCUACUUCAUGGCCCACUGGCUCCUCCCCCUGAUGGGGCAGGGCCCUUAGAUCCAUCUCUCCCCAGAGUGUCUCCUCCUCGCUGCCAUGUGGGCUCCCGCCCCUUGCCUAUCCCCAAAUCCUCCUCCACAGCUCACCGGCCAGGCUGCCUGCAUCCCACACCUUACAGUACCUGCCAGCGAUCGCUAGACACUGUGAGGGACGUCCGAUCCUGGACAACCACCCGCAAACUCCAUCCGAGCAGAGCCAGCGCACCCUCUUCCCUCAGACACAGACUCCACACUCCAGGCUCAUCCUCGAAGAGCACAGGCCUCCGGCUGCACUCUCACCCAGCACACCAAGCGCUGCACAGGCAACUGAGUGGUGAGUGAAACCAGGAAAGGUCAAGGCCCUCCAGAUCCCUAGCACCUGCGCCCACCAUUCAGCCCCCGAGCUAAGCCUCCUUCCCCACCCCACCUUGCGCGAGGCUCCUUUAAGAGAGUCUGCAGCUGAAAG